Molecule: long non-coding RNA, 713 nt
Filed under: Olea europaea (common olive)
Lineage: Eukaryota; Viridiplantae; Streptophyta; Magnoliopsida; Lamiales; Oleaceae
Description: long non-coding RNA (OEUR_LNC000212)
Source: RNAcentral
ACUAGUGUAGUCCAAACUUGUAACAUGUUCAAUAAUAGAGUAUGAACUAUUAGGAUUCAAAAACAUGUAAAUGUGAUGAAGAACUUUAAACUAAUUAUCAUCACGUGACUCGUGAUCAAGUGAUGAUGAUGGAUAAGUAGUGGACACUUUAGGGCUACCUAUUCUAGAAGUAGCACCUGGCAUAAUCUCUUCUAGCGAUGCGAGAAUAAGCUUAUUUUGGUUUUGCAAGUUAUGCAAGACUUGACGAAAUUCAACAUUCUCUCGUUAUGUCGUGUUUACACGAGAUGUAGCAGUGAAACCUUUGUGCCCCCUACCCAAAUUCCUAUAGUAGCAAGAAGUGGUGCCAAGGUCACUAUUUCAUUAGCAGAGAGUUGUACUCCUUGACUCUCACUUUCAUCUCCCUCAACAUGUGCCUUUUGUGUGGUUUGCAUGUCUAUUAUCUCCUUUUACAUAACAAUAGAAAGUAUUAAUGUAAAUAAAGUAGUAAAAUAUUUGUUCCAUUAAGUAAUAAUAAAGUUAAAUAAAGACAUAAAUAUUUAUUCAUUAUGUACUUCUCCUUAGCCACGGGAUGGAUCCAACCUUUAAUAUCCUUACAAUGUGUGUUAUUCCAUGGCUAAAUUAUGUUUGGUAGUCCAGUUUCAUUAUCCUAUUAAAAGAAGUAAGAAUAAGUGUUCACUGAAUUGAAAUUACUUUUUCAAUAAAAAUGGAUAUAU